Long non-coding RNA from Octopus sinensis (East Asian common octopus), 194 nucleotides. RefSeq lists it as uncharacterized. NCBI's taxonomy places the organism in Eukaryota, Metazoa, Mollusca, Cephalopoda, Octopoda, Octopodidae. The record is from RefSeq and is a predicted model, not a curated record. The transcript has 3 exons.
CAUCAACAGCAACAAUAGAAUUUUCUCCAAUAAAAUGGAAAUCUGGAAACUCUGCUUUUACACUUUUAACUAAUGUCAGCCACUUUACAUGAUUUGGAGUAUCCUUAAUUUUGUCUACAAAAUCCAGUGUAUUGGCAACAAAAGUUUCUUCAUGAUUUCUUCCAAAAGUGAAAGAUAAGAAAAUAGAAGAAGAA